UUAAAGUUUGAUUCUAGCUUAUAAUUUAAUUUAAAGAUUAUUUUACAUGUAAAUUUUUGUAUUAUUGUAUAUUUCUAAAUGAAUAUUAUGGAAAUUCACAGUAUAAGAUUUUAUAUAUUAUUAAUAUUAGAUAUAGUAAUUUUUAUAAGAAUGGACAAAAUUCGUGCCAGCAGUCGCGGUUAUACGAUUCAUUCAAUUUAAAUGUUGAAAUUUCAGUUAUAAUUAUAUUAAUAUUUAAAUCUAUAAAUUUUGGUGAAAUAAUAUUUUUAGAAUGGAUUUAUUUAUUUAUAUCUGAGAAACCUUUGUUUAAACUAGGAUUAGAUACCCUAUUAUUAAAGGUGUAAAACAUAUAUUUAGAUAAUUAAUAGUUAUGUUCUUUAAAUUCAAAGAAUUUGGCGGUAAUUUAUCUUUUCAGAGGAACCUGUUCUGUGAUUGAUAAUCCACGAUAAAUUUUACUUUAAUUUCACUUGUAUAUCUCUGUCAAGAAUGUUCUAUAAGGAAAUUUUCAAUAAUUUUAUUAAUAAAAUGUCAGGUCAAGGUGCAGUUUAUUUUAAAGUAGAAAUGGGUUACAUUUAAAUAUUAUUGAAUUAUUAUUUAAUAUAAUAUUAUGAAAUAGGAUUUGAUAGUAAAUAUAUUAAAUUAAAUUAAUUGAAUAACAGCUCUAGAUUAUGUACACAUCGCCCGUCACUCUCAUUUUAAGAUGAGAUAAGUCGUAACAAAGUAGUUGUACCGGAAGGUGUGGCUAGAAUGG
RNAcentral lists this non-coding RNA (751 nucleotides) under Tettigotoma maculata. Lineage: Eukaryota; Metazoa; Arthropoda; Insecta; Hemiptera; Cicadidae. The record is from RNAcentral.